Non-coding RNA from Triticum aestivum (bread wheat), 126 nucleotides. Lineage: Eukaryota; Viridiplantae; Streptophyta; Magnoliopsida; Poales; Poaceae. The record is from Rfam.
CACAUACUCCCUUCGUCAGAAAAAGCUUAUCCCUCAAAUGGAUGUAUCUAGCACCAAGUUAGAGCUAGAUACGUCCAUUUGAGGGACAAGCUUGGGACAAGCUUUUUCAGACGGAGGGAGUAUAAU